RNAcentral lists this ribosomal RNA (1979 nucleotides) under human gut metagenome. RNAcentral's name for it is "bacterial LSU rRNA". It matches the Rfam family "Bacterial large subunit ribosomal RNA", at positions 831 to 2841 of the family's 2925-position model. The record is from RNAcentral.
AAUCGAACCCGGAGAUAGCUGGUUCUCCUCGAAAUAGCUUUAGGGCUAGCCUCGAUACAGAUUUGCGGAGGUAGAGCACUGAAUUUCCUAGGGGGCGUCAAAGCCUACCGAAGAAUAUCAAACUCCGAAUGCCGCGUAAUCGAUUAUCGGGAGUCAGACUGCACGAGAUAAGUUGGGCGGUCAAAAGGGAAAGAGCCCAGACCUUCAGUUAAGGUCCCAAAGUGCGCGUUAAGUGGAAAAGGAUGUGGGAUUUCGAAGACAACCAGGAUGUUGGCUCAGAAGCAGCCAUCCAUUCAAAGAGUGCGUAAUAGCUCACUGGUCGAGAGGUCCUGCGCCGAAAAUGUCCGGGGCUGAAACGCGCCACCGAAACUAAGGAACCGAAAGGUUGGUAGAGGAGCAUUGCAUGCGGAACGAAGCAGUACCGUAAGGAGCUGUGGACUGCAUGGAAGAGAGAAUGCCGGAAUGAGUAGCGAGAUAGAGGUGGGAAUCCUCUAGGCCGAAUAUCCAAGGUUUCCAGAGUAAAGCUGAUCUGCUCUGGGUAAGUCGGGGCCUAAGGCGAGGACGAGAGUCGUAGCCGAUGGACAACAGGUGGAGAUUCCUGUACUGCGGUAUGACAGAACUGUGGGGACACGUAAGGAAAGCGGAAGCCGGGAAUGGAAAGCCCGGUGCAAGCGGGGUACCAGUCACUCUGGCAAAUCCGGGUGGCAAUGGGAAGCCGUGAUGCGGAGCGAAAUAAAGUAGCGAAGUCCGUGAGCCAUGCGUCAAGAAAAGCCGCUAUUGUUUAUACCGUACCCGUACCGUAAACCGACACAGGUGGAUGAGGAGAGAAUCCUAAGGCCGGCGGAAGAAGCAUUGUCAAGGAACUCGGCAAAAUGGCCCCGUAACUUAGGGAUAAGGGGUGCCUCAGAAAUGAGGCCGCAGAGAAUAGGCUCAAGCAACUGUUUAGCAAAAACACAGGUCUAUGCGAAACCGAAAGGUGAGGUAUAUGGGCUGACGCCUGCCCGGUGCUGGAAGGUUAAGAGGAGAGGUUAGCGCAAGCGAAGCUUUGAAUUUAAGCCCCAGUAAACGGCGGCCGUAACUAUAACGGUCCUAAGGUAGCGAAAUUCCUUGUCGGGUAAGUUCCGACCCGCACGAAAGGCGUAAUGAUUUGAGCGCUGUCUCGACAAUGCAUCCGGUGAAAUUGAAGUACCAGUGAAGAUGCUGGUUACCUGCGCCAGGACGGAAAGACCCCAUGGAGCUUUACUCCAGUUUGGUACUGGGACUCGGUAUUGCAUGUACAGGAUAGGUGGGAGGCUAAGAGACAGUAACGCCAGUUAUUGUGGAGCCGCUGUUGGGAUACCACCCUUGCAGUAUUGGGUUUCUAACCAGCCGCCGUGACCCGGCGGUGGGACAAUGCCAGACGGGGAGUUUGACUGGGGCGGUCGCCUCCGAAAGGGUAUCGGAGGCGCCCAAAGGUUCCCUCAGAAUGGACGGAAACCAUUCGAAGAGUGCAAAGGCAGAAGGGAGCUUGACUGCGACACCGACGGGUGGAGCAGGUACGAAAGUAGGGCUUAGUGAUCCGGUGGUAUUAAGUGGGAAUGCCAUCGCUCAACGGAUAAAAGCUACCCUGGGGAUAACAGGCUUAUCACUCCCAAGAGUUCACAUCGACGGAGUGGUUUGGCACCUCGAUGUCGGCUCAUCGCAUCCUGGGGCUGUAGUAGGUCCCAAGGGUUGGGCUGUUCGCCCAUUAAAGCGGUACGCGAGCUGGGUUCAGAACGUCGUGAGACAGUUCGGUCCCUAUCCGGCGUGGGCGUAGGAUAUCUGAGAGGAGCUGUCCUUAGUACGAGAGGACCGGGAUGGACGGGCCGCUGGUGCAUCGGUUAGACUGCCAAGUCUACGGCCGAGUAGCCAAGCCCGGAAGGGAUAAACGCUGAAGGCAUCUAAGCGUGAAGCCCCCCUUAAGAUGAGAUAUCCCAUUCGAAAGAAGUAAACCCCCUUGA